GUGUGUCCCAAUAUUCCCCUGCGACAUGGUUCACGUUGGCUACGCUUCUAAGAGUGAGGAUUAUCCCCACAGACGACCACCGAAAAUUAAGCCGACGUGGGAUCUCACAA
Cucurbita pepo subsp. pepo (vegetable marrow) is the source of this 110-nucleotide non-coding RNA. The record is from RefSeq and is a predicted model, not a curated record. Lineage: Eukaryota; Viridiplantae; Streptophyta; Magnoliopsida; Cucurbitales; Cucurbitaceae.